This 704-nucleotide long non-coding RNA is filed under the name Panax ginseng (ginseng). Its description in RNAcentral is "long non-coding RNA (PGIN_LNC007995)". The record is from RNAcentral. Lineage: Eukaryota; Viridiplantae; Streptophyta; Magnoliopsida; Apiales; Araliaceae.
GCGCAUCAGCUAGCAGUUGUUUGGAGCAAUAUUAAUAAAUUAGUCAAGGACAAACACACAAAUAUGGUUAUUUUGACCAUCUAGGUACGUAUAUAUCUACCACUACUAUUUUAUCUUCUUCUAUAUAUGAUUAGUUUUAUUUAAUUUUUUAUAAUAAAAUUUAUUAAUCACUUCCUUCUGUUUUUUCAGCAAUAUUCAAUGUUUAUUUUUUUAAAUUUUACCUCUAAUUGAAAUAUAACGUCAUUAUAUGUUGCAUGAAAGCAAUAUAUUAUCCUUUGAUCCCUAAUUUUCUGGUGCAUAAUCCUACCCCUGUUUAGGCUCUGUCUCUCUCUCUCUCUCUCUCUCUCUCUCUCUCUCUCUCUUUCUAUAUAUAUAUAUAUAUAUAUAUAUAUAUAUAUAUUCACCAUAUAUAUGAUGGUCUGUCUGUAGUUGAUUUAUUUUAUGGCCUAAAUCUGGCAGUUCUGUUACUUAUUCUAGCAUAGUUGAUGAAGAAUUGAAUUCGGUUUUUUAUAUGACUUGUCUUUUCAGUUAAAAUCAAGGUGUUGUUCAUACUGAUUUCCUUCUGUAAGAUCAAAUCAAUAGCUUUGGAGCCAAGAUGAAGGAUUUUUCAUUACAUCACAACAUCACUUGUGUUUUGGACUAGUGUUUCAAGCUUGAUUUCACCACCUUUAAACUGAAUUAAUUAAACACCCGAAAUACCUGCG